UGGCUGUGGUGAAUUUGGCCGAGAUGAUUAUUUUUGACACUCAUGACUAAACUUAAAAAUAUUGAAAGUUAUUUGAUAUCACAGCCAUCAAUUCAUUCCGAAAGAUUUCAAACUUCUAAAGGUGUACCUAUUAAUCCAGUGGAUAUUAGUAGAUGAUUUUUUUCAUACUCUCUGCAUUCCCAUGCCAUGUUACGUCAUGCAGUCAAAUACAUUUACAUGUGCAUGUGUGCACAUUUGUAAACACUGGAGAUCCAUGAAAAUCCCUUAUAUUACAAGCAGUUAUUCGAUUUAUAAAGUCAACGAAAUAAGACAGUCAUUUAAAAGUAUAAAUGAGUUAUUUGAUAAUGAAAUUGACAGAAAAGGAGAUUAAGGAACUGAAAGUCGAUAAAAACUUUCUUUCCUUUCGUCAAAAUCUUGAGGUUUAGCAUACAAUUCGCUGAAUAAAAAAAGCAUAACCGAUCUCAAAAUACAUGAUAAAAGAUCAUACAUGUUUAUUCUCUUAACACGUUCCCCCUAAAGCUGUUCAUAAAAUUGCUGUUUGCAAAAAUGAAUAGAACUCAGUCAUACUAAUACUCAUCCCAUCCCUCUCCGCAAAAUAAUGAUAAAAAUAAUAAUCAUAUUGGAUUAAAAAGAUAAAAUAUUUAUAUUUGGUUUGUUUUCAACAGUUCUUUUUAGAAGAUUUUGUGUACAUGCUAACCAAGUAUUGAUCGUAAAACUCGGUUUUCCUGACAAGUUUCUAUUUCCCCUAUUCAUUAUUUGACAGGAAUCAGGUUUGCUAUUCAUUAUGUUGAGUAUCAUAUGUGAUGAGAAUAAUAAAUAGAAUUGAAUGUACAAGCUAAUUAAGAAUCACAAAUCCGAUCAGGUGGUUUGGGAAUGAAAUUAAAGCUAAUAUUUCUUAGCCAAGCCCUUUUAAUUAGCUGGAAGUCUAUAAAUGUGAAUUAUUGAUGAUUUUUUUAUACGAAUACGUGUAAUCUGUAACAGUGAAAGAUGAAUAAAUCAAUGUCCACUUA
Molecule: long non-coding RNA, 1010 nt
Organism: Saccostrea echinata
Lineage: Eukaryota; Metazoa; Mollusca; Bivalvia; Ostreida; Ostreidae
Exons: 2
Source: RefSeq, a predicted model, not a curated record